UGAAGCCGGACACGCGGGAGGUGACAGCGUUUGACGGAGCGCAGAUUGACAGGAAUGAUUGAUGACGUGCUCCCAGGCGUGCUGCUGCUGACCAGUGGACAGAGAUGAGAUCAUGUGACCGGGCGGCUCACCUUGCCGUACCAUGGACUUAGCCAAGCCAUAUCCUACCAGGGACCGGGGGGCCGAGUCACUGACCUGUCUAUGGUACAAACGUUGACUUUCUGUCAUCAUCCUCCUCAUCAUCAUCAUCAUCCUGGGGAAACUGUACGGCGUCAGAGAGGUGGUUGGUUUCUGACAGGAGAAGAGGAGCCCCACUUCACUUCCGACUCAAAAUACUGCAGCGGCUCCACGGCAGCUCACCAACCUGUCUGACGGCGGUGUAAGGACGCCGCCCGUACGGCCGAGUCAGACUGGAGACAGGAAACGCGGCGCCACUUCCAGAGAGCUGCUGUUGAUGAGCC
Lampris incognitus (smalleye Pacific opah) is the source of this 461-nucleotide long non-coding RNA. RefSeq lists it as uncharacterized. NCBI's taxonomy places the organism in Eukaryota, Metazoa, Chordata, Actinopteri, Lampriformes, Lampridae. The record is from RefSeq and is a predicted model, not a curated record. The transcript has 4 exons.